Long non-coding RNA from Mustela lutreola (European mink), 390 nucleotides. RefSeq lists it as uncharacterized. The record is from RefSeq and is a predicted model, not a curated record. NCBI's taxonomy places the organism in Eukaryota, Metazoa, Chordata, Mammalia, Carnivora, Mustelidae. The transcript has 2 exons.
GCCACUGUCUGAAGAAAGCCGGGCUCAGGAAGCCGCCGGAUUCCUGGACUCCGACGGCCAGCAGGGCAGAAAAGCAGACCCUUCCCGGCCAGCCACAAUCGGAGGGGGCGCUGGGCCCUGAAUGCGCACGCGCUGCGCACAGCCGUCCCCAAACGCUUCCGGUUCUCCGCUGGCGAAAUAGCCAAUUAUCGCCAGGGAUGAGUGACGUCUCGGGAUCGGACGGACGCCUACAGGGCAAGCUAUUAUGGGCGGCACUGAGCAGCUCUCCACCUAGCGGCGGAAUGGAGGGCGGCGGUAGUGGGCGCUGCAAGUCUCCUGAACCAAAAGCGCUGGGACAGAGCUUGAGGGAGCAAGUCUGAAUUCUUAUCAAAAAUUCUCACUCAAGGGACG